Molecule: small nuclear RNA, 102 nt
Organism: Sorex araneus (European shrew)
Lineage: Eukaryota; Metazoa; Chordata; Mammalia; Eulipotyphla; Soricidae
Source: Ensembl
GUCUCACUUCAGCAGCACAUAUACUAAAAUUGGAAUGAUAUAGAUAAGAUUAGCAUGGCCCGUGUGCAAGGAUGACAUGCUUGUGAAGCGUUCUAUAUUUUU